UACGUAGGGUGCGAGCGUUGCCCGGAUUUAUUGGGCGUAAAGAGCUCGUAGGCGGUUUGUCGCGUCUGCUGUGAAAACCCGAGGCUCAACCUCGGGCCUGCAGUGGGGUACGGGCAGACUAGAGUGCGGUAGGGGAGAUUGGAAUUCCUGGUGUAGCGGUGAAAUGCGUAGAGAUCAGGAGGAACACCCGUGGCGAAGGCGGCCCC
This 206-nucleotide ribosomal RNA is filed under the name uncultured bacterium. Its description in RNAcentral is "partial 16S ribosomal RNA". It matches the Rfam family "Bacterial small subunit ribosomal RNA", at positions 524 to 728 of the family's 1533-position model. The record is from RNAcentral.